Lonchura striata (white-rumped munia) is the source of this 186-nucleotide non-coding RNA. The record is from RefSeq and is a predicted model, not a curated record. NCBI's taxonomy places the organism in Eukaryota, Metazoa, Chordata, Aves, Passeriformes, Estrildidae.
GAUCGUGGAGAGACAGGAGUCCCUGGUGCACCUGGAUCAUCUGUUUGGGGACCUCCUGGACCAAAGGGAGAUCCAGGACACAAGGGACCACCAGGAGAUGAUGGACGUCCUGGAAAUUCAAUAAUGGGACCAACGGGGCGCAUAGGACCACCUGGGCCACCUGGACCCCAAGGACCAAAAGCUGAC